This 3988-nucleotide long non-coding RNA is filed under the name Callithrix jacchus (white-tufted-ear marmoset). Its description in RNAcentral is "lncRNA (ENSCJAG00000081159.1)". Lineage: Eukaryota; Metazoa; Chordata; Mammalia; Primates; Cebidae. The record is from RNAcentral.
UAAUAAUGGUUCCUUCCACCAGGCUGAGACCACUGAGCUCACCUGAUCUCAUAGGCUCUGGGGAUGUACCACCUGGAGAUGGAGCAGAAACGCCUAUCUUCAGAAGUCAGAUUUGCUUUCUCCAAGGGAAUGAGUGGAGAAAAGCCCAAGUGUCCCGCCCACCGGCCUGCCCUGUGGACUUUGGAUUCAAGGCUGAAGCAGAAACACUUCCCUGAGUUUCAGCCUGCGGCCCGCCCUACAGAUUUCAGAGUCACUAGUCCCCACAAUUGCGUGGUCCAGUUCCCCGGGAGAGAUUUCUCUCCCUCUCUCUUGCGUUUAUUUGUGUGUGUGUCUGUAUUUAUAUUUGUCUAUAUUCUACUGUGCAGAAAGAUGUUCUUCCACCAUAUGAUAAUGCAGCUAGAAGGCCCUCACCAGACACCAGCACCUUGAUCUUGUUCUUCCCAGCCUCCAGAACUGUGAAAAAAUAUAUUUCUGUUCACUAUAAAUUAUCCAGACUGUGGUAAGACUGGAAAACCGUCUUCAACAGACUAAGAAACGCAGUCACUGUGCACAGGAGAGCAACACAAACCUCUGAUAUGUUAAGUCAGUGGUUCUCCAAGAGGCAAUGUCUGGCAAUAUUUUUGGUUGUCACUACUGGGAACGGGGUGGGGAGCUAGUACUGGAAUCUAGCAGGCAGACACCAGGGAUGUGGCUAAAUAUCCUGCAAUGCACAGGACAGCCCCCACAACUAGGAAUUAUUCAGCCCAAAUAUCAGUAGUGCUGAAGUUCAGAAUCCCUGCUCUAAAAUGUGGGCGGCUUUAGAGAAGAGAUGUUGCCAUUGUCCUGCUGAAAACCCUCCCAUGGCCUCUAUCACACUCAGGAUAGAUUUCCAGUCCCACACUUUGAUCCACAAAGCCCCACAGGACCUGGAUCCUGCCCACCACCCCUCCCACCUCACAUCCCACUUCUUUCUCUCACCCACUCUGGACCUCUUUCCAACCUAAGGAUUUCACACUUGCUGUUAAAUCCUUGAAUACAUUUCUCCCUGUUCUUCCAGGUAUUCAGUUAUGGCUUAAAUAUCACCUCGUCCAAAAAUACCUCCCCUUGUUGCAGUCUGUAUUAGAGUCAUUUCCACCUCUUGAUUCUCUAUUAUUGUACCACAUUGCUAUGAUCAUUUCAUAGCAAUGACCGUGAUGUAAUGUGCCGUGCUGCCUUGUCAGGGUGGGGUAGAGGUGGUGUCUGCCUUCCCCCUGGAGCAUGAGGAACAUGAGGACCAGACAAAUAAUGGAAAGAGACAUCUUUGUAGUUGGAUACCCUCGGAUUUUAAUUCUGGUUCCAGCACCGUCUAUGAGUCCCCUCACUCUCCCGGCCUCCAUCUCCUCAUCUGCAGAAUUAAAUGGGAUAGUGUACAGAGAGCACUUGGCCCAAUUACCAGCAGAGAAUAGUCACUUGAAAGGUAUGUUGACUAUCAAAUGCACGAAAGUGUAAGGACAGUCAAGUCCCUGCAGGCUGUUGUUUUAGGGAUGACCUCUCGGGAGGAAAGUGGAAUUGGGGUGCCCGGGUGGAAGCUUCUUGGAAUGGAAGGAUGGAGAAGGUGUGUGCUCAUGAGCAGAGCUCAGUUUCCCCAGGCAGCGUCUGCAUCUCCCUCUCUUAAAGACACAGCACCGCAGAGGCUGGCAAGCUCUCAUUCCUCCUUUAAAACUGCGACCCUAGCUCCCUUCCUUCAAGUCACUGUCCCCAGGGCUGUUCUCCCUGAUGCCUCUCUCUUGCAGGACCCAAGAGGGAGGCAGCCACCACCAUGAUGGUCCUUCUUUUGAGAAGCACACCCCUCCUCCAAGGGCACCUCCCAGCACUGUCUCUAUCUGUGCCUGUCUAGACCAGGCAGGAAAUUAAAGUGGGUAUCAGGGCAUUUGCAAUAAAUAGCUCAGACCUCAGACUGAGACCUGUGAGUGUCUACAAAAAGGAAUGUGAUUGAGGGACCUCUUUCAAAUACAGUCUUACAUCAGACUGUUGGGGCCACAGAGAAAUUUGGAUUGUUUCCACCUCUGCAUGUAUGAAGGGUAAGGACAGCAGGGAGCUGUCCAUCUUCUCUGCAGGGAGGAUGCAGAGAAGGUGGCAAACCAGUGGGGAGACAGGUCCAGGAGCCCUGUCUCCUGGGAGAGGCAGGGGACUGUGAGCUUAGGUGCUCCGGCACCACUAUGGGUAGGCCAGUGGACCUCCCACCUCCCUGAGCCUCCAUUCCCUCAUCUGUGAGGUGGACAUGUUAUCAUACCUGCAGCUUAGGCUGGAGUGAAACCUCAGUGAGUUAAAAUAUGUAAAGCACUCUGAUCUUUAAGAUCUUCCUUCUCCUGAUUUUGGGCUUAGUUUGUUCUUUUCCUAAUUCCUUGAGUUGUAAUGUUAAGUCCCUUAACUGAGAUCUUCCUUCUUUUUUGAUGUAGGCACUUAUUAUAAAUCUUUCUUCUUUUUGAUGGAGGCACUUGUUCAUUGCAGCAUUACUCACAAUAGCUAAGAUAUGAAAGCAGCCUAAAUGUCUAUCAACAGAUGAGCGGAUAAAGAAACCGUGGUACAUAUAUGUACGCAACGGAAAAUAUUCAGCACUAAAAGGGGGGAAUCUGUCAUUUUUGACAAUGUGGAUAAACCUGGAGGACAUCAUGCUGAGUUAAGUAAGCCAAGCACAGAAAGACAAAUACCGCAUGACCUUACUUACCUGUGGAAUCGAACAAAGCUGAGCUCACAGAAGCGGAGGGUAGGAUGGUAGUUAGCAGAGGCUGUGGGAGAGGGGUGGAUAGGGAAAGGAGAUGUCGAUCAAAGGGCAGAAAGCCUCAGUUGGACAGGAGGAGUAAGCAUUAGCGAGUUACUGCACAGCACGGUGACUAUAAUAAAUAGUAAUGCAAUGUAUAUUGCAAAAUUGCUAAAAGAGUAAAUUUUAAAUGAUUUAACCACAAAAAGGAGGGAGGUAUGUAUGGGAGGUGAUUUGUUAAUUAGCCCGACUGAAUCAUCCCACAUUGUCACCAUCUAUCAAAACAUCACUUGUACCCCAUACAUAUGUACAGUUAUUAUUUGUCAAUUAAAAAUAAAAUUUUAGGCCAGGCACGGUGGCUCAAGCCUGUAAUCCCAGCACUUUGAGAGGCCGAGGCGGGUGGAUCACGAGGUCAAGAGAUCGAGACCAUCCUGGUCAACAUGGUGAAACCCCGUCUCUACUAAAAAUACAAAAAAUUAGCUGGGCAUGGUGGCAUGUGCCUGUAAUCCCAGCUACUCAGGAGGCUGAGGCUGGAGAAUUGCUUGAACCCAGGAGGUGGAGGUUGCAGUGAGCCGAGAUCACACCAUUGCACUCCAGCCUGGAUAACAAGAGGGAAACUCUGUCUCAAAAAAUAAAAAAAUAAAUAAAUAAAAUAAAAAUUUUAAAACUAUUUUCAGCACCUCUUGAGAGUGGCCUGGUCAGGAUGACUUGCUUCUAAAACAUAGAAAAGGAAAGUGGGGAAAAGUGACUUUGCAGUGGAGAGACCUGGAAGACACUACCUCGAGCCAGGUGACUGAGGUCACUAUCCAUGAAGUCUUUCAACACACAUACCUCUGAUAUGAUGUGAUGAAGAUGCUAUUUCAUCUCUGUGGUGUUCCUCCCCAAAACUCAUAACCCCAUGCAAAGGCAGAGAAAAAUAUCACAUAAAUCCACACCGAGGCAUAUUCUAUAAGAUACCCGUUUGGUAUUGUUUAAAAUGAUCAAGGUCAACAGAAACAAGGAAAGUCUGAGAAUUUGUCACCAAGUAGAGGAGACUAGGAGACGUGAGAGUUAAAUUCGGUGUGGUGUCCUGCACGGGACCUUCAUGUGGAGAAUGACAUUGGGAAAACUGGUGACAUCCAGUAAAGGGUGGAGUUUAACUGACAGCAUGUACCAAGAUUGGUUUCUUGAUGAAUGGACAACAAAGUAAGAUGUUAGCAACGCAGGAAAUGGUGUGGGGGUGUGGGAACUCUGCACCAUCUCUGCAACUUUUCUGUGUGUAUGAAGGUG